Molecule: long non-coding RNA, 187 nt
Organism: Melanotaenia boesemani (Boeseman's rainbowfish)
Lineage: Eukaryota; Metazoa; Chordata; Actinopteri; Atheriniformes; Melanotaeniidae
Exons: 3
Source: RefSeq, a predicted model, not a curated record
UGGAGAACUGGAGGUCAACUGGUGGUGGUAGCAGUAACAGAGGAGCUGUGGAACCACACACUUCACAGCAUUUUCCUACAGCCAACCUAAAGUUUCUAGAACUGUCAGCAUGAUGAGGAUCGCGAGGAGACCAGAAUGCCUGUACACCCUGAGGAGUGAAAUUAAUGUUCAUGCAAAGAAAAUGUUU